GCCCGCCUAGCUCAAUCGGAUAGAGCGUCAGACUCUUAAAUUAAUAGGCGGUGAAUCUGAAGGCUGCGAGUUCGACCCUCGCGGUGGGCU
Molecule: transfer RNA, 90 nt
Filed under: Laccaria bicolor S238N-H82
Lineage: Eukaryota; Fungi; Basidiomycota; Agaricomycetes; Agaricales; Hydnangiaceae
Rfam family: tRNA
About the family: Transfer RNA (tRNA) molecules are approximately 80 nucleotides in length. Their secondary structure includes four short double-helical elements and three loops (D, anti-codon, and T loops).
Source: Rfam by way of RNAcentral